ACUCAGUUAUUUAGGAAAAGCGGUUAACAGAGCCUUCAAUCUUCUCGGCUACAACCCAUCAUCCAUAUAUUUUUACCCGUAACUGCUUCACGCUUCACCUUCCAUCUAUUUCUCUUUCUCUAACAAUUCGUCUCUUCUAAAUUAUGAAAAACCUAAUUCGUCUUUCUUUGGCAUUUGAGUGACAAGAAGGAUGAUUCCAAGGGAUUAAGAGAAAUUAUCCGCUUAAUUGAUGACGAUGAACUUGAUGAUGAUGACAUGUUCUUUCUGGUCUUUGACAAUGAUGAACCAUUUAACUGAUCAUAAUUCAACCGAUUGUCGUAGGGUUUUUUCUAUGUCAAGUUGUGAAUUAUCAACGGCACUAAAAACGAAUUAGGAUUGCAUUUGAGUGAUUCAAGGGAUUGUGAUAUGAGGUUCUGGGAGUCAUCUCAAUGAUAAAGCCUUAUGAGUGAGAUAACACAAUACAAACUUUGAAGUAGUUGAAGUCACGUUUGGAGUGGAAGAAUGUUUUAAAUGAUGAGUGUUAAUGAAUGUUUGGCAACUAAAGAGGCAGCUGUUACAAAAGAUAUUUCCAUAUCCCUCAACAUUCUCUUUUUCAUAAUAAAGAAUUUACCUCAAACAAUCAUUUGGUCUUGGACUCCUGGCUUCCCCUUUAAAUUUUUUCUUUUAGUGUGUACAUGUGUGUUUCUUUUGGUUAACUUAUCAUCGAAUUGGUUUUGACUUUUAUUUGUUUAUAUAAUCCUGCAGGAGGUUUUCAGAGGAUACCGUAAAAGGAGCAAAAAUUCGGAGUUAACUUCUGGAUUUUAUUUAUUUACAGGAAAAUGUGGAAGGUGGUGGCAACACGGUAUGGGUGAAGUUGGUGCAAUUGGGACAGUUUUGGAAGGGCUGACCUUUGCAACUGUUUUGGAUGACAGUGGCAAAAAUUUGGAUGCCGUGAGCUUAGUUUUGUUCAAAUUACAAAAGCAAAUUGAGUGUGGAAACACUCUCACCCGUAUCCAAUGAACAUGUGUGUGGCAGAUCGGGCGAAUAUUCAAGUGUGGGAAUGCAGGAAAGUUAUGUUCAUCACCGGUGCAAGAAUUUAUAAGCAAAUCGAAGACCCACCUCAUGUCACGGACUUGAAGGGGAUGCUGUGAAAAUGAGAUGACGCGAGGAACAUGGAAAUCUUCUAAGGAACAUAAUCCAUUUAUCUCCAUUGGUGUAGAAUCUACCAUGAAGCUACCCGUAUCACAACACCUCAUACGUGGUCAUCUGAAAAACUGGAGUAGUACAGUACACAUAAGAGACUAGGACAAUGCUAGAAGAAGAUACGAGGACUGUUGUUAGUUUUAGUAGUUGGGCACCUGGAACUAGAGUUGACAACAAAAAGUGUUACUUGAAACUUGCAAUUCUGUUGGUGUUGCAGGGAUGAGCUAUUGAAAAGUACACAAUCAUUGGUUAUAUACCUUGCAAAGAAUUACAACUAUCAAGGAAUAGCCUUAAAAGAUUUAAUCCAGGGAUGGGGAAUCUAUAACAUGUCUCAUGGGAUGGGGAAAAAAGAAUGAGAGUAUGGAGUUCCGAAAUGGAGGCAAUUUACUCUUUUGAUAUAAUUUGACUAAAAUGAAUUUACGAUAUAAGAGGGAAGGAUCCAAAAUACAAGAUGGUAGAAGAUGCAAGAGAGUAUGAAGUUGUGUGCCUGUGUAUGGAUAUCCGCCACAUAUCACUGCACCACACAUCCAUCCUCACUCUCCGACUGCAACCUAACCACCCUGAUCACCACCUAUGCCUUGCUCGGCUUGCCAGGAAGUUUCGUUCACGGGACACAGCUCAACAGGUUGCGAGAUGAGGUCCGAAACCUUGAGUGUUCAUUGAAAUGUCUACACGAGGCUGUUGCUGACUUGGUACACAUUUAUGUUAACAAAAAGCACUUUUUUAGGGCGAAGCUGAUUUGUAGCAACCAAGCUUAUGCAAAGCCAUAUUAUAAUCUUAGCAGAGCCAACAGAGGGUUCCUUAUCAUUAUCAGAGGUAGGAUCGUUCUAUACCAAAAGCCCAAAACCAUCGACACAUUGAGUCUAUGGUCCAAGAAUCGUGAAAUCCAUGUUUUUAGAAUGGUCAGUUUUUUAUUUUAUUUUAUUUUUUUAAUUCUAUCGUUAUAUAUGUUGCAUAAAUCACCAAGUUAUUCAGGAUUAGAGAGGAUUAGAGGUGGUGAAACAGAUAGGUAGAGGUAGACGUAGACGGGUCAAAUGGAUUGGACUAAGAAGAGUCACGAUCUGUCAAUGCUUUUGAAUUUUGGAUUUCUUGGAUGCUCAGUUUUGUCGAGUUUAAGUAUGAAAGUUUGUAUUUUUUGUAUAACGGCAUUCAAGAGAGUUUGUCUUGAUACCCCAUACUCUUAUUUGUAUUUUUCUUAUAACGGCACUCUAUACAUUUAUUAAAGUAACUUAGUCCAGGAUUUGGUAACCAUCUAAAUAAUUUCCGUCAUUAUCAGUAAUGAUGCCCAUUCUUUUUUUUUUUUUUUGGGUGGAACAAAUGAUUAAUUGUGGCACACAUGAGUAAGUUAUAUGCUAAAACUUUGUCAUAUAGUGUGGCAACAUUAGUCUGUUAGACGGUAUUUGGUACGGGAUGGGUGAGCUUGCUCGGAGAUUUUUUGUGUACAUAAGAGAUGACUAUAAAUAAAGGAUUAUAAUGAUAACCUUGGUGAAACCUGACAUUAGGUGAGGCUUGCUGCUGUAUUAUUUUUUGAAUAAAUUUCAUGAAAGGAAUGAAACUCUUAUGGGCCAAAUUAACUUGAAAUCACUCAUUUGAAUUCUUAAACCACCCAAUUUAACUCAUUAAAUUUUUUAUAUUUUUUUUUUUUUGUCGGUCUCCAUUUCUACCUGAUUCUGUGACUUUUCUAAUGAUGUGCCAUUAGAUGUAAGCGGACAAAAAGACCAAUAGGGCAGUGGACUUCAAAAAUUUUUGUUCAUUACUUCAUUCUUUUUAAAUUGAAAUGUAUGUACUCAAGCAUAUUUUUCUUUUUGUUUAUAUUGCCCAAACUGUCAAACUACACUGUAUAUACAAAAUGGGUGGGUUGGGUAGAAAAUCCAACUAUGGAAUGUUUGUAAUUGUGAAGUUUUUGAAGGUUUCAGCCCUAUCUCGCAAGUAGAUCUAACAUGAAGUACUUAAGCGACAAAUGCAUUUGAGAUUUUGAUACGCUUUUAGUUAGUACAAAGACUAUGGUUAAGAAUAGUCGAUUAGAAAAAAGUUAGUGGUGGUGCCAAUCUGUAAGAUGUUUUUCUCUUCGUUGUAAAGUUUUCAGCUUAUGAAUGUCAUUAUAAAUAAUUUCAGCACCAACCAUAUUGAGUAAAAAAAAUGGUCUUCACGAUUCAAACAUUAAAUUCUAAUUCAGUAGGUAAGUAGGUUGUUCUCUUGGAUUGCAGGUUGUGCUCUUCAGUUGCAUUAUACUCGGGUAUGUUUAAUGGACCACCAAACUGCACAAUACAUCCUCAAGAAGUUUGAGCGUCACACCCUUACCACACACAUAUCAAGUGAGACACCAAAGCAAUUGAUGAUGAUACUCACCUACAUAUAGUAUACACCUGCAAUCGUUUCUGGAACAAACCCGACCUCAGUGAGACAAAAUAUUCAAGUUUUAGUUAAAUGAACACAAGUGCAUCUAAGGUCACUAAGCUUAUUUUCAAGUCUACUUAGCUCUUUGUGAUUGUGUUUUGAACAACACAACUUUUUUGAUAGCCAAACACAUUCUCUGGAAAGCUGUUACCAUAUAAUUCUUUUAUUUUGAACUCCACUAUUAUACGGAUUGUUGUUUUGAUCUAGGAUGUGUAACUGCAAUAUGUGUUGCAUGUUAAAAAAAAAAUUAUGAAGCUUUUA
Molecule: long non-coding RNA, 3840 nt
Organism: Erigeron canadensis
Lineage: Eukaryota; Viridiplantae; Streptophyta; Magnoliopsida; Asterales; Asteraceae
Exons: 15
Source: RefSeq, a predicted model, not a curated record